Molecule: RNase P RNA, 386 nt
Filed under: Nanobdellota archaeon
Lineage: Archaea; Nanobdellati; Nanobdellota
Description: RNase P RNA component
Rfam family: Archaeal RNase P
About the family: Ribonuclease P (RNase P) is a ubiquitous endoribonuclease, found in archaea, bacteria and eukarya as well as chloroplasts and mitochondria. Its best characterised activity is the generation of mature 5'-ends of tRNAs by cleaving the 5'-leader elements of precursor-tRNAs.
Source: RNAcentral
GGUAGUAGUGGUAGGGAGUUGAGGGUGAUUUAUAUCGCUCAGGAAAGUCCGCCCACCAGCAACUUGAAAUUUUCAUCGAAGAUUUCUUGCUUGUUAUGGCCACUUCAAUAAUGAAGAUGGGGAAACCCCAUGUCAAUGGCUCAGAAACGAAACGUCCAUGUAUCGGGAUGAAGAUGGCGAAGUCUGUUGCGAAACAGAUGAGUUAACCCGUUGACCAUGUUACAUGGGAACGAUGAAACGGCGAAUACUGGCCGGUGCAAGUCGGUGUAAGGGAUUAUUUAGGUAAUUUCUUGCACGUAAGUACGCUUAGUAGAAUACUUCCACAGAUUAUCGAUGUUCAUUUGAACUUUUUGGAUCUGACAGAAGGCGGCUUAUUCCACUCUACC